CACGUAGGGGGCGAGCGUUGUCCGGAUUUAUUGGGCGUAAAGAGCUCGUAGGCGGUUUCGUAAGUCGGAUGUGAAAACUCCAGGCUCAACUUGGAGACGCCAUUCGAUACUGCGAUGACUUGAGUCCGGUAGGGGAGUGUGGAAUUCCUGGUGUAGCGGUGAAAUGCGCAGAUAUCAGGAGGAACACCGGCGGCGAAGGCGGCACUCUGGGCCGGUACUGACGCUGAGGAGCGAAAGCGUGGGGAGCGAACAGG
Molecule: ribosomal RNA, 254 nt
Filed under: uncultured bacterium
Lineage: Bacteria
Description: partial 16S ribosomal RNA
Rfam family: Bacterial small subunit ribosomal RNA
Source: RNAcentral